Molecule: ribosomal RNA, 255 nt
Filed under: uncultured bacterium
Lineage: Bacteria
Description: partial 16S ribosomal RNA
Rfam family: Bacterial small subunit ribosomal RNA
Source: RNAcentral
UACAGAGGGGGCAAGCGUUUGUUCGGAAUUACUGGGCGUAAAGGGCGCGUAGGCGGCCCGCUAAGUCGAACGUGAAAUCCCCGAGCUCAACUCGGGAACUGCGUCCGAUACUGGCGGGCUUGAAUCCGGGAGAGGGAUGCGGAAUUCCAGGUGUAGCGGUGAAAUGCGUAGAUAUCUGGAGGAACACCGGUGGCGAAAGCGCGAGACUGGGCCGUAACUGACGCUGAGGAACGAAAGCCAGGGUAGCCAAAGGGG